GACGAACGCUGGCGGCGUGCCUAACACAUGCAAGUCGAACGGGGUGUUCCUUCGGGGACACUUAGUGGCGAACGGGUGAGUAACGCGUGAGAAACCUGCCUUUCAGUGGGGGACAACAGUUGGAAACGACUGCUAAUACCGCAUAAUGUUUCGAGAGGGCAUCCUUUUGAAACCAAAGCUUUAUGUGCUGAAAGAUGGUCUCGCGUCUGAUUAGCUAGUUGGUGAGGUAACGGCUCACCAAGGCGACGAUCAGUAGCCGGUCUGAGAGGAUGAACGGCCACAUUGGGACUGAGAUACGGCCCAGACUCCUACGGGAGGCAGCAGUGGGGGAAUAUUGGGCAAUGGGGGAAACCCUGACCCAGCAACGCCGCGUGAAGGAAGAAGGCCUUCGGGUUGUAAACUCUUUACCAGGACGAAGAACGUGACGGUACCUGGAGAAAAAGACAACGGCGUAACUACGUG
Molecule: ribosomal RNA, 462 nt
Filed under: uncultured bacterium
Lineage: Bacteria
Description: bacterial SSU rRNA
Rfam family: Bacterial small subunit ribosomal RNA
Source: RNAcentral